RNAcentral lists this unclassified non-coding RNA (240 nucleotides) under soil metagenome. Its description in RNAcentral is "partial contains 5.8S ribosomal RNA, internal transcribed spacer 2, and large subunit ribosomal RNA". The record is from RNAcentral.
AACGGUCUAUACCUGCGGUACCUGCGGAGGGAUCAUUAAAAAGGUUUGGUCGGAAUCUUUGGCAAUUUUCCCAUUGAUUUCGACUUCCUGAUCAUCCCUUAUGUGCACUUUUGAAAUAAUGCUUUGGUAGGUCGAAAGAUCUACCAAAAGUUUUAUCAAAAUAGCCUUAUUUUUUGUCUGAAAUAAAAAUAUUUUAAUUUUUAAAAUACAACUUUUAACAAUGGAUCUCUAGAUCGGAAG